This 499-nucleotide ribosomal RNA is filed under the name uncultured bacterium. Its description in RNAcentral is "bacterial SSU rRNA". It matches the Rfam family "Bacterial small subunit ribosomal RNA", at positions 20 to 507 of the family's 1533-position model. The record is from RNAcentral.
UGGCUCAGGAUGAACGCUAGCUACAGGCUUAACACAUGCAAGUCGAGGGGAAACGACAUCGGAAGCUUGCUUUUGAUGGGCGUCGACCGGCGCACGGGUGAGUAACGCGUAUCCAACCUGCCCACCACUUGGGGAUAACCUUGCGAAAGUAAGACUAAUACCCAAUGAUAUCCCACGAAGGCAUCCGAAUGGGAUUAAAGAUUUAUCGGUGAUGGAUGGGGAUGCGUCUGAUUAGCUUGUUGGCGGGUAACGGCCCACCAAGGCAACGAUCAGUAGGGGUUCUGAGAGGAAGGUCCCCCACAUUGGAACUGAGACACGGUCCAAACUCCUACGGGAGGCAGCAGUGAGGAAUAUUGGUCAAUGGGCGAGAGCCUGAACCAGCCAAGUAGCGUGCAGGAUGACGGCCCUAUGGGUUGUAAACUGCUUUUAUGCGGGGAUAAAGCGGGCGACGUGUCGCCCCUUGCAGGUACCGCAUGAAUAAGGACCGGCUAAUUCCGUG